This 601-nucleotide ribosomal RNA is filed under the name Bacillus sp. 14082. RNAcentral's name for it is "bacterial SSU rRNA". It matches the Rfam family "Bacterial small subunit ribosomal RNA", at positions 42 to 633 of the family's 1533-position model. Lineage: Bacteria; Bacillati; Bacillota; Bacilli; Caryophanales; Bacillaceae. The record is from RNAcentral.
GAGCGCAGGAAGCAAACAGAUCCCUUCGGGGUGACGUUUGUGGAAUGAGCGGCGGACGGGUGAGUAACACGUGGGCAACCUGCCUGUAAGACUGGGAUAACUCCGGGAAACCGGGGCUAAUACCGGAUAACACUUAUUACCACAUGAUGAUAAGUUGAAAGGUGGCUUUUGCUACCACUUACAGAUGGGCCCGCGGCGCAUUAGCUAGUUGGUGAGGUAACGGCUCACCAAGGCAACGAUGCGUAGCCGACCUGAGAGGGUGAUCGGCCACACUGGGACUGAGACACGGCCCAGACUCCUACGGGAGGCAGCAGUAGGGAAUCUUCCGCAAUGGACGAAAGUCUGACGGAGCAACGCCGCGUGAACGAAGAAGGUUUUCGGAUCGUAAAGUUCUGUUGUUAGGGAAGAACAAGUACCGUUCGAAUAGGGCGGUACCUUGACGGUACCUAUCGAGGAAGCCCCGGCUAACUACGUGCCAGCAGCCGCGGUAAUACGUAGGGGGCAAGCGUUGUCCGGAAUUAUUGGGCGUAAAGCGCGCGUAGGCGGUUUUUUAAGUCUGAUGUGAAAUCUUGCGGCUCAACCGCAAGCGGUCAUUGGAAAC